GACGAACGCUGGCGGCGUGCUUAACACAUGCAAGUCGAACGGAAAGGCCCUGCUUUUGUGGGGUGCUCGAGUGGCGAACGGGUGAGUAACACGUGAGUAACCUGCCCUUGACUUUGGGAUAACUUCAGGAAACUGGGGCUAAUACCGGAUAGGAGCUCCUGCUGCAUGGUGGGGGUUGGAAAGUUUCGGCGGGUGGGGAUGGACGCGCGGCUUAUCAGCUUGUUGGUGGGGUAGUGGCUGACCAAGGCUUUGACGGGUAGCCGGCCUGAGAGGGUGACCGGCCACAUGGGGACUGAGAGACGGCCCAGACUCCUACGGGAGGCAGCAGUGGGGAAUAUUGCACAAUGGGCGGAAGCCUGAUGCAGCAACGCCGCGUGCGGGAUGACGGCCUUCGGGUUGUAAACCGCUUUCGCCUGUGACGAAGCGUGAGUGACGGUAAUGGGUAAAGAAGCACCGGCUAACUACGUG
Molecule: ribosomal RNA, 468 nt
Filed under: uncultured bacterium
Lineage: Bacteria
Description: partial 16S ribosomal RNA
Rfam family: Bacterial small subunit ribosomal RNA
Source: RNAcentral